CUAAUACUCCCUCCGUUCCAAAUUACUUGUCGCAUGUAUGAAUGUAUCUAGAUGCAUUUUAGUUCUAGAUACAUCCAUUUUCUGCAACGAGUAAUUUGGAACGGAGGGAGUACCAG
Molecule: non-coding RNA, 116 nt
Organism: Triticum urartu
Lineage: Eukaryota; Viridiplantae; Streptophyta; Magnoliopsida; Poales; Poaceae
Source: Rfam